AUGAAGUUUUGCAAAAGGAGCCUCUGUCCUGGCAACAGUGUAGACUCUCUUGGCUGCCAAAUGCUGAGUCUGCCAUCACUUGAAGUUCUGAGGAGCCUUUGCACCAGCGUCAUAGAUAAUGCAAAAGGAAUGUCACAGUUUUCUACUUUAGUGUGGAGAAAGGAUCAAGACUUCUUGAAUACAGGUUACAUGUGGCAGCAAGCAGCUGGAGCUGCCAUCAAAUGACAAGUCUCUGACUCUGCUUCUUUGGAAUCCUAAGCAGGAGCAAUGAGGUCUGCCCAUGAGCUAGGACUUUUCACUUCUCAUCCAAGACCCUUCUCAUGCCAGGCCAGGGCUUGUCACUUCUGUAAAGCCUGGGGGAGACUGAAGAACUUUGGGAACUGUUGAAUAAUUUCAGAGUGAAAUUCUUACAGGUGAAAUCAAACUAAAAAUAUUUCUUUCCUUAAAAGCAUGCUUUCAAAUAUCAUAGUACUUUCAGUACAAUUUACUCUUUUAUAACCGUUUUAAAAGCUAUAGAUAGCUCCUGAUGACUUCUGGCAUCAGUGUGUUCUAAGUGCAUGAUUUCAGAAUAUGGCUUAAUAUUGGCAUAUUUUGCUCUAACUGGCAGUCAUCCUUUUUAAUAUUUUUUUUUUCACAUUUGAUAGUAAUCCAGUUUCCAACUUCUUGCCUGUACUGCUGUAACCUGGAUGAGACCUUCAUGGACAGAGGUAGUGAUACUGCUCUGUCUAAAUCAGUGUAUACCCUGACUGAUGUUUUCACAGGAGUCAGACCAUCUAAAAGGAAGAGCAUUUUCCAGUUGGUGUUUAUUUACAAUUUCAUAGUUGUCUUCAUCUGUAUGUCUGACACAUUUACAGAGUAGCUUUGAUUAUGACAGUUCCACAUUCAGAUUGUAUGUAUGCAACUGGAAAUUUCUGAAGUGCAAGUUGUCAGAUUCUGAAAUGCUGUAAAUUCAUCAUGUGGCCAUACAGACUUUGCACUAAAAAAAGGUUAAGGUUGUUCAGCAAAAAUCUGUGCCAUUCUUGCAACUAUCUGGGGCAAAAAUAUUUUUUGCAUUACCUUUUUUACUAAAAGUAAUCUUAGUUCUUUUCUCUUUGGGCUCUUUAUGCUACAAAAGGAUUUUGCUUAUCAUCUCUUAGAGUCUGAUUUAUUGCAUUUUAAAUUAAAAUUAACAGAUUGUAUUUUGACAGUUUCUGGAUAUUUAUGCUUUCCAAUCUGGUGAAUCCAG
This 1225-nucleotide long non-coding RNA is filed under the name Parus major (Great Tit). RNAcentral's name for it is "lncRNA (ENSPMJG00000011545.1)". Lineage: Eukaryota; Metazoa; Chordata; Aves; Passeriformes; Paridae. The record is from RNAcentral.